Molecule: long non-coding RNA, 591 nt
Organism: Aethina tumida (small hive beetle)
Lineage: Eukaryota; Metazoa; Arthropoda; Insecta; Coleoptera; Nitidulidae
Exons: 3
Source: RefSeq, a predicted model, not a curated record
CAAGUUCCAAUUAAACAGCAUGGACCCAGAAGAUAUUCUUAAGGCUCUCUUGCUUUUUAUGAUUCUUAUUAUGUUUUGCGCCACGGUGUGCGACAUGUUGGUGCUUAUUAACACCGUUCAUGAAGACAACAACCGUCGUCAACCCCGACAACAGAACAGGCACAGGUUGAGAAGACGCAUUCAACGUCGCAACAAUUGGGAGAGACAAAUUCUGCUUAACUUAAAUUAAAUAAGAACCACAGAGCAACGUCCAGCAUUCCAGGAGGCGCCAUGUAUAUCAACUGGCUUUCGCGGACCAAACAUUUUAUAUUGUUUCUUUAGUGGUUGAUCAAUUCUCAAUUUCAACAGUCUUGGACCUUGUCUAGACGUCAUUGACGUAAUUUGCGUCACAAAAAAUGCGUCUACAAAAUUUUAAUUACCUUUUAUUUUUAACGGGAACAGCACAACAACACCUAGUAGCCAGGGUUUCCUAUGAGAUCAAUGGGUUUUGCUGAACCAAUUACUUUACACUGUUUGUUUUUCCAGUUUAUGUUAAUUAUUAUCAUUCAUUUUUUGUAAAACUUUAGUUAUAAAAUUGAGUAAAUAAAUAAU